RNAcentral lists this long non-coding RNA (208 nucleotides) under Lathyrus oleraceus (garden pea). RNAcentral describes it as "Pisum sativum (pea) long non-coding RNA (PSAT_LNC010769)". The record is from RNAcentral. Lineage: Eukaryota; Viridiplantae; Streptophyta; Magnoliopsida; Fabales; Fabaceae.
UUCAACUGCACCGUAAUCUGGCCUAACAGCACAUCCUAUGUCUGCCAAUACAUCUGCCUGCAGCACUCUAACUGGUGCAGGUCAGUAGGUAACUAUGCUUCCACCUCCUAUUACCCCACAACCAACUUUCUUCAGAUGAGAUACAUGAUAAACAGGGUGAAUAAAAGACUGCUCUAGAAGCUGUAAAUUGAAAGCAACAAAACAGAAU